Molecule: ribosomal RNA, 344 nt
Filed under: uncultured Pseudomonas sp.
Lineage: Bacteria; Pseudomonadati; Pseudomonadota; Gammaproteobacteria; Pseudomonadales; Pseudomonadaceae
Description: bacterial SSU rRNA
Rfam family: Bacterial small subunit ribosomal RNA
Source: RNAcentral
GCAUGGCUGUCGUCAGCUCAUGUCGUGAGAUGUUGGGUUAAGUCCCGUUAACGACGCGCAACCCUUGUCCUUAGGUUUACCAGCACGUUAUGGUGGGCACUCCAAGGAGACUGCCGGUGACAAACCGGAGGAAGGUGGGGAUGACGUCAAGUCAUCAUGGCCCUUACGGCCUGGGCUACACACGUGCUACAAUGGUCGGUACAAAGGGUUGCCAAGCCGCGAGGUGGAGCUAAUCCCAUAAAACCGAUCGUAGUCCGGAUCGCAGUCUGCAACUCGACUGCGUGAAGUCGGAAUCGCUAGUAAUCGUGAAUCAGAAUGUCACGGUGAAUACGUUCCCGGGCCUU